RNAcentral lists this ribosomal RNA (404 nucleotides) under Cupriavidus metallidurans. RNAcentral describes it as "bacterial SSU rRNA". It matches the Rfam family "Bacterial small subunit ribosomal RNA", at positions 391 to 787 of the family's 1533-position model. The record is from RNAcentral. Lineage: Bacteria; Pseudomonadati; Pseudomonadota; Betaproteobacteria; Burkholderiales; Burkholderiaceae.
GCAAUGCCGCGNGUGUGAAGAAGGCCUUCGGGUUGUAAAGCACUUUUGUCCGGAAAGAAAUCGCGCUGGUUAAUACCUGGCGUGGAUGACGGUACCGGAAGAAUAAGCACCGGCUAACUACGUGCCAGCAGCCGCGGUAAUACGUAGGGUGCGAGCGUUAAUCGGAAUUACUGGGCGUAAAGCGUGCGCAGGCGGUUUUGUAAGACAGGCGUGAAAUCCCCGGGCUUAACCUGGGAAUUGCGCUUGUGACUGCAAGGCUAGAGUGCGUCAGAGGGGGGUAGAAUUCCACGUGUAGCAGUGAAAUGCGUAGAGAUGUGGAGGAAUACCGAUGGCGAAGGCAGCCCCCUGGGACGUGACUGACGCUCAUGCACGAAAGCGUGGGGAGCAAACAGGAUUAGAUACCC